This 253-nucleotide ribosomal RNA is filed under the name uncultured bacterium. Its description in RNAcentral is "partial 16S ribosomal RNA". It matches the Rfam family "Bacterial small subunit ribosomal RNA", at positions 524 to 776 of the family's 1533-position model. The record is from RNAcentral.
UACGAAGGGGGCUAGCGUUGCUCGGAAUCACUGGGCGUAAAGGGCGCGUAGGCGGCUUCGCAAGUCGGCCGUGAAAGCGCCAGGCUUAACCUGGCGAGGUCGGGCGAGACUGCGGGGCUCGAGGCAGGCAGAGGGCGGUGGAAUUCCGGGUGUAGUGGUGGAAUGCGUAGAGAUCCGGAGGAACACCAGUGGCGAAGGCGGCCGCCUGGGCCUGUCCUGACGCUGAGGAGCGAAAGCGUGGGGAGCAAACAGG